Molecule: ribosomal RNA, 254 nt
Filed under: uncultured bacterium
Lineage: Bacteria
Also listed under: 3 other names
Description: partial 16S ribosomal RNA
Rfam family: Bacterial small subunit ribosomal RNA
Source: RNAcentral
UACGGGGGGAGCAAGCGUUGUUCGGAUUUACUGGGCGUAAAGGGCGCGUAGGCGGCCUCCGCAAGUCAAUUGUGAAAUCUCCGGGCUUAACUCGGAAAGGUCAACUGAUACUGCGGGGCUAGAGUGCGGAAGGGGCAACUGGAAUUCUUGGUGUAGCGGUGAAAUGCGUAGAUAUCAAGAGGAACACCUGCGGCGAAGGCGGGUUGCUGGGCCGACACUGACGCUGAGGCGCGAAAGCUAGGGGAGCGAACGGG